ACUAUACAUGCAGUCGAGCGAGCCGAACUAAUUGAUUACCUUCGGGUAUGAAGUUAGGGAAGCGAGCGGCGGAUGGGUGAGUAACACGUGGGUAACCUACCCUAUAGUCUGGGAUACCACUUGGAAACAGGUGCUAAUACCAGAUAAAAGGAGAGAUCACAUGAUUUCUUUUUGAAAGGCGGCGUAAGCUGUCGCUAAAGGAUGGACCCGCGGUGCAUUAGCUAGUUGGUAAGGUAACGGCUUACCAAGGCAACGAUGCAUAGCCGAGUUGAGAGACUGAUCGGCCACAUUGGGACUGAGACACGGCCCAAGCUCCUACGGGAGGCAGCAGUAGGGAAUCUUCCACAAUGGACGCAAGUCUGAUGGAGCAACGCCGCGUGAGUGAAGAAGGUUUUCGGAUCGUAAAGCUCUGUUGUUGGUGAAGAAAGAUAGUGAGAGUAACUGCUCAUUAUUUGCCGGUAAUCAACCAGAAAGUCACGGCUAACUACGUGCCAGCAGCCGCGGUAAUACGUAGGUGGCAAGCGUUGUCCGGAUUUAUUGGGCGUAAAGCGAGCGCAGGCGGAAAGAUAAGUCAGAUGUGAAAGCCCUCGGCUUAACCGAGGAAUAGCAUCGGAAACUGUCUUUCUUGAGUGCAGAAGAGGAGAGUGGAACUCCAUGUGUAGCGGUGGAAUGCGUAGAUAUAUGGAAGAACACCAGUGGCGAAGGCGGCUCUCUGGUCUGUAACUGACGCUGAGGCU
Molecule: ribosomal RNA, 737 nt
Filed under: uncultured bacterium
Lineage: Bacteria
Description: bacterial SSU rRNA
Rfam family: Bacterial small subunit ribosomal RNA
Source: RNAcentral